Medicago truncatula (barrel medic) is the source of this 1633-nucleotide RNA transcript. It is a transcript of the gene named spindle and kinetochore-associated protein 1 homolog, with no coding region annotated. NCBI's taxonomy places the organism in Eukaryota, Viridiplantae, Streptophyta, Magnoliopsida, Fabales, Fabaceae. The transcript is spliced from 10 exons. The record is from RefSeq and is a predicted model, not a curated record.
GUAAUAUAUAUAAAAAACACUAUUAACCCUAAAAAUGAAAACGCAGUGCAACUUCAAACAUUACCGCCUAAACCACCAUAUACCAAUUUGAAACGCUUUUUUAAUUUCCAAAUCUCAAACCAAAACCGUUCCCAUUUCACAACACAAAGAAAUGAAUUCGAAUUCGAAGAACGCAGGCUCUUCCUUAGAUUCCUUAAUCUCUUCUUUCAACGCUCGCAUUUUACAGCUUCAAGAACUCACCAUUGCAAGAAACAUGUACCCAGCGAGUAGUAUUGCAGAUCUUUCGGCUGUUGAUGCUGCUGUGAGUGCUAUGGAGCUUCAAGUGCAAUCGAUUAAGGAUCGGUUUCGCGAUGAGAUUGAAGCUAUUCCCAAAACCAAGAAACUACUCGAUGCAUCCCUGCAGCAGCAAAAGAAACUGCAGAAUAUGUUUCAUCACAUUCCCUCCCAAAUGCCUGAUAGAACGACACUGUCAAAUUCCGAAAUUAGUAGAUCUUUGUUUGCCGAAUUUUCUAGGCAAGACUCUGAAUCGUAUGAGGCUUUGAAACACGUGGAGCCUGUUGCUUUACCUAAGGAGAAAAAAGGCCGUGGUUAUGCACCAACUUGGUAUGUCACUGGAAGUGAAAUGGAUUCCUUGUCAUCAUAUAUGAGGGGUAGGCUUACUCUAGAGAAGGUGAAUGCUGCAAUCACAGAUAUGGCCUCUUAUGCCGAAGCAAAUGCUCAACUUAUCGUAGCCCCCAAAAAGAAGUUGGCAGAAAAUCUUUGGGAAAAAGCUCUGGAAAUAAGAGAUAUUGGAGGAACGGAAGGGAUUAAAGGAAAACACUUUUUUCUAGAAACUGAUAUUAAAGGCCCAUCACUUAAACUUGACAACACUGGAAAGGCAAUAUUGACAUUAUACUGGAUGACAAAGAACAUUACAAUUUCCAUGUGUCCUUUUCCCGUUAACAUACUGUGGGAUGGUUGAAGGAAAAUCAUAUGAGGCGUCAAGAGUCCUCACUUAUAAGUCGGUUUUGUAAGGGUUUAGUUAAGCUCAACCCUAUGAUAGUUCCAUAGCCUAUCCCAAGAUUCACUUGGCCACCUACUAUCGGGUCACUCGAGUCACGCUCCUCGAUAUGUCCAGUUCUAGGCUUGAUGGGUGUGAGUUAAGAUCUCAGAUUGGAUGUGAUAAGGUCUGAAAAUGUGUUUAAAAACGAGGGCAGUCCAUACUAUGUAACCCAGAAGGUUCUUCGACACCUUGGCCGCAUUAACGAGACUCGCGUUGGACAUCAUCGGGUUUUCAUUCUACAGAAGCCUCACUAGAAAGAAUGUUAAUAUUGAUCUUAUUGCAAUGCAUAAAUGGUCGAGAUUAUUAUAUACUUUAAUUUUGACCAUUCAUUUGUAUUGUAUGUUCAAGAUUUAUUAUUAUUAUUAUUAUUUUUUUGUGGAAGUUUGCUAUCACUUGAUAUCUUCAAAACGUGAAAAUGUGUGUAUUCAUGUAUAUACAUAUGAAUGCAAAGAAGAAAUUUAAGAGUAGAUUUUAGGUUUUUCUAAUAAUUUAGAUGAUCAACUCAUUACAACUUUUAUGUUUCGGGCUGUUAUCUUUUGUGCGUACAUUGUUGGCAGUGACUGCAGGGAAGUAGUAUAUAUGGUUUGUUAA